ACCAAUCCCAGGAUUCACUCAACAAAAGGCCUUACUCCUUAAGAGACCAAUCCCUUAAGUUCAAAGAGAUUUCUGGUGUUGUUUUCGUCUUAGAGAAAGAACCCCGAGGGACUGUUUUCGUUACUCGUGGAAGAAUACAUGUAAAACUACUUUCCCAAGAGGCUCCUCGAAGCUUUGACUUUCCCAGAAGCGCUUGCUGGGAAGUAUAACCGGUCAGCUGUAGUGUCUCAGGGCACGCCGGGAGUUGUAGUCCGCUGGCUAAAUUAAGUCAACAUGAAAGAUUGCCUUUUGGGAAUUGUAGUUUGAAUGAGCAGAUACAAAACGCUUCGCAGUUAAGUCUCAAAAGCAAGUUUGACUCCCCUUAAGAAGGGAAAGAACUCUCAAAAAAAAAAAAAGGAAGGGGGACCCAGAAGAGGAGAGAGGACAAGAAUCAAGAAAGACACCAAGUCUAGGAUGCAAAUGAAAACCCUGGGAAAGAGGACAGAGUUGGUAUUGCACUUUAUUCUUUUUUUCUUUUUUUGUUUUGUCCAUCAUAAUGUCUGAUUAAAAAUAUAUAUAUAUAUAAUAUGUACACAAGGAAAGAAGCUGCUAGGAGUGUUACAAAAAUCCCUCCACAGCUUGGAGACAAGACAUGGAAAAAAAAACCCAAAAGUUUGGAAAAGUAUCUGUUUAGAAAGGGUUUUGUUGUUGUUUUUGAAUUUGUUAGAAAACACCUCUUUCUUCCACAUAAAGUUUCAGGGUUUUUUUUCCCCCUUUUUUUCCUUCUUUUUUUUUUUAAUUUUAAUUUUUUACAAAAGGAGCCGGGAGGAGGGGUAAGCACAUUUGAGGUCCCAGAGCCAAGGAGACUCUGGGGAAGUAGGGUUUUGUCCUUAAGACCCUGGUUAAAGUGCAGUGAUGAUCUGGAAAAUGAUGGAGUCCCCUUCUUCCCCUACUUAAGAAUCUUAUCUUGCUCCCAGCCCCCACGUCUCCACUCUCCUGGGCAUAGCAAUAGCCUCAGAACAUGAUAUUUUUGUUUGUUUUCUUUUGAAUUUUUAGGGGUAAGAGGACCACAGGUUUGCCAGAGUAGAAUGGGGAAAGGAUGUGGGUAGGACCGUAAGGCUCUGAUCUCCCUGGAAGGAAUAGUCCCUAUGGGGAGUCACUAUCACAAGCAGAAUACUGUAGUAGUUCCCAGUUAAGAAAGGGGAGGAAGUAGAAAGGGGCUCAAUGUCCAAAUCUGCUCUGCAAAAGUAGAGUAGGGAGGUAGGAGAACAGUGUCCUGCUAGAAAUAAAUUUCCCUUACAGAUCCUUCCAUCCUUCUCCUCUACUCCUGUCUUUGUUCCCCUACCUCCCACCUCCCUGACCUUGGCAGCAUCUGUUUAUUGCUACAUUGUCCAGGAGGAACAGAUAUUUCCUUCACAAUGAUGCUCCACUCUACACCUCUCUGGGUCUUAUCAAGGAGACCUCAAGGUAGAAGAGGAGAAAACUGUUUUAGGAUCUCUUCCCCACAUGGGGAUGAGACAGAUUCCUCUCAAAGGCCCAAGCACCACAAUCCUGGGUUCUGUUCCCCCAGCCAACCCUGCAGCAUCCUUCCCUGGGGACCACAAGAGAUCCCUGAAGAAGGAGAAAAGGGAGAAGAGGCAGAAGAGGCAGAAGAGGCAAUGAGGAAAGGUUGUGGAAAGAAGAGUGGGAGUUGGAGGAGAAAGGUGAGAGGAAAGAGAGAAGGACCAAGUGUUGCAACUUGUGAGGUGGUUGUGUUAUAUUUUUUUUUGUUUUUUGUUUUUUUUGUUUUUUGUUUUGUUUUGUUUUUGUUUUUCUUUAACAUAGAAAAAAAAAAAACA
Molecule: long non-coding RNA, 1817 nt
Organism: Antechinus flavipes (yellow-footed antechinus)
Lineage: Eukaryota; Metazoa; Chordata; Mammalia; Dasyuromorphia; Dasyuridae
Exons: 2
Source: RefSeq, a predicted model, not a curated record